GACGAACGCUGGCGGCGUGCCUAAUACAUGCCAGUUGAGCGCUGAAGGUUGGUACUUGUACCAACUGGAUGAGCAGCGAACGGGUGAGUAACGCGUGGGGAAUCUGCCUUUGAGCGGGGGACAACAUUUGGAAACGAAUGCUAAUACCGCAUAAAAACUUUAAACACAAGUUUUAAGUUUGAAAGAUGCAAUUGCAUCACUCAAAGAUGAUCCCGCGUUGUAUUAGCUAGUUGGUGAGGUAAAGGCUCACCAGGGCGAUGAUACAUAGCCGACCUGAGAGGGUGAUCGGCCACAUUGGGACUGAGACACGGCCCAAACUCCUACGGGAGGCAGCAGUAGGGAAUCUUCGGCAAUGGACGAAAGUCUGACCGAGCAACGCCGCGUGAGUGAAGAAGGUUUUCGGAUCGUAAAACUCUGUUGGUAGAGAAGAACGUUGGUGAGAGUGGAAAGCUCAUCAAGUGACGGUAACUACCCAGAAAGGGACGGCUAACUACGUG
Molecule: ribosomal RNA, 497 nt
Filed under: uncultured bacterium
Lineage: Bacteria
Description: partial 16S ribosomal RNA
Rfam family: Bacterial small subunit ribosomal RNA
Source: RNAcentral